This 817-nucleotide ribosomal RNA is filed under the name uncultured bacterium. RNAcentral's name for it is "bacterial SSU rRNA". It matches the Rfam family "Bacterial small subunit ribosomal RNA", at positions 638 to 1454 of the family's 1533-position model. The record is from RNAcentral.
UGACUNGAGUGCAGAAGGGGAGAGUGGAAUUCCAUGUGUAGCGGUGAAAUGCGUAGAUAUAUGGAGGAACACCAGUGGCGAAAGCGGCUCUCUGGUCUGUCACUGACGCUGAGGCUCGAAAGCGUGGGUAGCGAACAGGAUUAGAUACCCUGGUAGUCCACGCCGUAAACGAUGAGUGCUAGGUGCUAGGCCCUUUCCGGGGCUUAGUGCCGGAGCUAACGCAAUAAGCACUCCGCCUGGGGAGUACGACCGCAAGGUUGAAACUCAAAGGAAUUGACGGGGGCCCGCACAAGCGGUGGAGCAUGUGGUUUAAUUCGAAGCAACGCGAAGAACCUUACCAGGUCUUGACAUCCCGAUGCUAUUCUUAGAGAUAGGAAGUUACUUCGGUACAUCGGAGACAGGUGGUGCAUGGUUGUCGUCAGCUCGUGUCGUGAGAUGUUGGGUUAAGUCCCGCAACGAGCGCAACCCUUAUUGUUAGUUGCCAUCAUUAAGUUGGGCACUCUAGCGAGACUGCCGGUAAUAAACCGGAGGAAGGUGGGGAUGACGUCAAAUCAUCAUGCCCCUUAUGACCUGGGCUACACACGUGCUACAAUGGUCGGUACAACGAGUUGCGAGCCGGUGACGGCAAGCUAAUCUCUGAAAGCCGAUCUCAGUUCGGAUUGGAGGCUGCAACUCGCCUCCAUGAAGUCGGAAUCGCUAGUAAUCGCGGAUCAGCACGCCGCGGUGAAUACGUUCCCGGGCCUUGUACACACCGCCCGUCACACCACGAGAGUUUGUAACACCCGAAGUCGGUGAGGUAACCUUUUAGGGGCCAGCC